Molecule: unclassified non-coding RNA, 109 nt
Filed under: Schizosaccharomyces pombe (fission yeast)
Lineage: Eukaryota; Fungi; Ascomycota; Schizosaccharomycetes; Schizosaccharomycetales; Schizosaccharomycetaceae
Description: non-coding RNA (predicted)
Source: RNAcentral
GUGACAUUGAAUGUUCCAUAGGUCGGAGUAUUGGUUCCAUUUACAACUUUUUUAGAUAUUUUUUUAACGUACAUAUCAUUAUCGCCACCUUCAAUUUAUUACAUUUUCU